AUUGAACGCUAGCGGGAUGCUUUACACAUGCAAGUCGAACGAGUGGCAGACGGGUGAGUAAUAUAUCGGAACGUGCCCAGUAGCGGGGGAUCACUACUCGAAAGAGUGGCUUAUACCGCAUUAUAUUGUGGCGGCCGAUAUCGUUAUAGCUAGUUGGUGGGGUAAAGGCUCACCAAGGCAACGAUCCGUAGCUGGUUUGAGAGGACGACCAGCCACACUGGGACUGAGACACGGCCCAGACUCCUACGGGAGGCAGCAGUGGGGAAUUUUGGACAAUGGGGGAAACCCUGAUCCAGCCAUCCCGCGUGUAUGAGAAGGCCUUCGGGUUGUAAAGUACUUUUGGCAGAGAAGCGGUAUCUGCAGAAUAAGCACCGGCUAACUACGUGCCAGCAGCCGCGGUAAUUC
RNAcentral lists this ribosomal RNA (405 nucleotides) under uncultured bacterium. RNAcentral's name for it is "partial 16S ribosomal RNA". It matches the Rfam family "Bacterial small subunit ribosomal RNA", at positions 30 to 526 of the family's 1533-position model. The record is from RNAcentral.